This 975-nucleotide ribosomal RNA is filed under the name marine metagenome. Its description in RNAcentral is "bacterial SSU rRNA". It matches the Rfam family "Bacterial small subunit ribosomal RNA", at positions 336 to 1307 of the family's 1533-position model. The record is from RNAcentral.
CUCCUACGGGAGGCAGCAGUAAGGAAUAUUGGACAAUGGACGAAAGUCUGAUCCAGCCAUGCCGCGUGCAGGAUGACAGCCCUACGGGUUGUAAACUGCUUUUAUACAGGAAGAAACACUCCGACGUGUCGGAGCUUGACGGUACUGUAAGAAUAAGGAUCGGCUAACUCCGUGCCAGCAGCCGCGGUAAUACGGAGGAUCCAAGCGUUAUCCGGAAUCAUUGGGUUUAAAGGGUCCGCAGGCUGUUUUUUAAGUCAGAGGUGAAAUCCUACAGCUCAACUGUAGAACUGCCUUUGAUACUGGAAAACUUGAGUUAUUGUGAAGUGGUUAGAAUGUGUGGUGUAGCGGUGAAAUGCAUAGAUAUCACACAGAAUACCGAUUGCGAAGGCAGAUCACUAACAAUAUACUGACGCUCAUGGACGAAAGCGUGGGGAGCGAACAGGAUUAGAUACCCUGGUAGUCCACGCCGUAAACGAUGGAUACUAGCUGUUCGUCUAACAUUGGUUAGAUGAGUGGCUAAGCGAAAGUGAUAAGUAUCCCACCUGGGGAGUACGGUCGCAAGACUGAAACUCAAAGGAAUUGACGGGGGCCCGCACAAGCGGUGGAGCAUGUGGUUUAAUUCGAUGAUACGCGAGGAACCUUACCAGGGCUUAAAUGUAGUGGGACAGGUCUAGAGAUAGACCCUUCUUCGGACUCAUUACAAGGUGCUGCAUGGUUGUCGUCAGCUCGUGCCGUGAGGUGUCAGGUUAAGUCCUAUAACGAGCGCAACCCCUAUCGUUAGUUGCCAGCGAGUAAUGUCGGGAACUCUAACGAAACUGCCAGUGCAAACUGUGAGGAAGGUGGGGAUGACGUCAAAUCAUCACGGCCCUUACGUCCUGGGCUACACACGUGCUACAAUGGCCGGUACAGAGAGCAGCCACUUCGCAAGAAGGAGCGAAUCUAUUAAAACCCGGUCUCAGUUCGGAUCGGAGUCUG